This is a long non-coding RNA of Cyanistes caeruleus (blue tit), 648 nucleotides long. The record is from Ensembl. Lineage: Eukaryota; Metazoa; Chordata; Aves; Passeriformes; Paridae.
AUGAACAACUGCUAUAUGCAACCAUUGCAGUCAGUGCUGAGGAGCAGCAAGAAGAAUUACAGCCCUGUGCCUCCUGCCUCUAUCAGCGGCUGGUUUGGAAGGAAGGGAGGCAGAACAGGCUGGACACCAAGCAGCCACUGUACUCCCCUGCCCUCCAUCCCUGGAGGGAAUGACAGCCUUGCCUUUAGUAUCUAUAAUCUUCCAUUUCGAACGAUGUGCAAAUAUUGCACUGCUGGAAGCGAAGAGCAGCUGAGGGUGGUUGGGGGAUCAGCUCCACAGGCUCGACAGGCUGUCGGGAAGCACAGCGACUCCGUCUGUGGGCAUCGGCCAAGAGGGUGUCCAGCUGAGCCAUCCUUUGCCCGGGGGCUUCCCUGUAACUCCAGGAACGUGGCCGGAACCGCUCUCCGUGCCGCAAACCUGCCCCACAGGCAUCCCCCGGCCCGGGCUGCUCUGCCAAGGCUUUGUCAACCAGAAGCUCACCAGGCCCAGAGAACAACAACCUCGACCAUCAGUGCCCAGAAAGCAACAAGAAGCCUUUGGGGCAGUCCACAAUAUUAUAUGAUUACUCGGAGGAGGAGCUCAUGGCAAGCAUCGAGCAGGAGUACUGCCGCUGAAUCCAGUUCCCCACCACGAGAAUGUCAGGCUUGA